GAUGAACGCUGGCGGCGUGCCUAAUACAUGCAAGUCGAGCGAACAGACGAGGAGCUUGCUCCUCUGACGUUAGCGGCGGACGGGUGAGUAACACGUGGAUAACCUACCUAUAAGACUGGGAUAACUUCGGGAAACCGGAGCUAAUACCGGGUAAUAUAUUGAACCGCAUGGUUCAAUAGUGAAAGACGGUUUUGCUGUCACUUAUAGAUGGAUCCGCGCCGCAUUAGCUAGUUGGUAAGGUAACGGCUUACCAAGGCGACGAUGCGUAGCCGACCUGAGAGGGUGAUCGGCCACACUGGAACUGAGACACGGUCCAGACUCCUACGGGAGGCAGCAGUAGGGAAUCUUCCGCAGUGGGCGAAAGCCUGACGGAGCAACGCCGCGUGAGUGAUGAAGGUCUUCGGAUCGUAAAACUCUGUUAUUAGGGAAGAACAAAUGUGUAAGUAACUAUGCACGUCUUGACGGUACCUAAGCAGAAAGCCACGGCUAACUACGU
Molecule: ribosomal RNA, 496 nt
Filed under: uncultured bacterium
Lineage: Bacteria
Description: partial 16S ribosomal RNA
Rfam family: Bacterial small subunit ribosomal RNA
Source: RNAcentral